UCGAGUAAUCCUAUACUUUUAUAGAAAAUAUUAUGUUGAAACUAGUAACAAGAAGAAAGACCUUCUCUUAAAUGCAAAUACAAAUCAGAAAGGACAAACCACUGACAACUAACGUCUAUGACCCCUAAUUAGCAACCCCACAAGAAAAACCUAAUUUUCUCNCGCGUUAACCUGACACAAGAGCAUUUCAAGAAAGAUUUAAAGAAGGAGAAGGAACUCGGCAAAUAUUAACCCCGCCUGUUUACCAAAAACAUCGCCUCUUGAGCAAAAAUAAGAGGUCCAGCCUGCCCAGUGACAAAUGUUCAACGGCCGCGGUAUCCUAACCGUGCGAAGGUAGCGUAAUCACUUGUUCUUUAAAUGAGGACUAGUAUGAAUGGCACCACGAGGGUUACACUGUCUCCUCCAUCUAAUCAGUGAAACUAAUCUCCCCGUGAAGAAGCGGGGAUAUAACUAUAAGACGAGAAGACCCUAUGGAGCUUUAAACUUCUCUCCAAACGCCAGAUANNCCUUAAUAGUCACCGACUUUAUUACACAUACCUNCAGCGUUAUGAAGACGAGUUUUAGGUUGGGGUGACCGCGGAGUACAAAAUAACCUCCACGAUGAACNAGGCCUCCAAGCCUUGAACAAAGGACCACAACCCGAUGUACUAAAAAACUUACANCCAUUGACCCAAUAUAUUUUUGAUCAACGAACCAAGUUACCCUAGGGAUAACAGCGCAANUCUACUUCAAGAGUCCCUAUCGACAAGUAGGUUUACGACCUCGAUGUUGGAUCAGGGUAUCCCAGUGGUGCAGCCGCUACUAAAGGUUCGUUUGUUCAACGAUUAAAANCCUAC
Molecule: ribosomal RNA, 836 nt
Filed under: Scinax funereus (Moyobamba snouted treefrog)
Lineage: Eukaryota; Metazoa; Chordata; Amphibia; Anura; Hylidae
Description: partial 16S ribosomal RNA
Rfam family: Bacterial large subunit ribosomal RNA
Source: RNAcentral